GAUGAACGCUGGCGGCGUGCCUAACACAUGCAAGUCGAGCGGCAGCGCGGGGGCAACCCUGGCGGCGAGCGGCGAACGGGUGAGUAACAUAUCGGAACGUACCCAGUCGUGGGGGAUAACUAUCCGAAAGGAUAGCUAAUACCGCAUACGUCCUGAGGGAGAAAGCGGGGGAUCGCAAGACCUCGCGCGAUUGGAGCGGCCGAUAUCGGAUUAGCUAGUUGGUGGGGUAAAGGCUCACCAAGGCGACGAUCCGUAGCGGGUCUGAGAGGACGACCCGCCACACUGGAACUGAGACACGGUCCAGACUCCUACGGGAGGCAGCAGUGGGGAAUUUUGGACAAUGGGGGCAACCCUGAUCCAGCCAUUCCGCGUGAGUGAAGAAGG
This 384-nucleotide ribosomal RNA is filed under the name uncultured bacterium. RNAcentral's name for it is "bacterial SSU rRNA". It matches the Rfam family "Bacterial small subunit ribosomal RNA", at positions 28 to 414 of the family's 1533-position model. The record is from RNAcentral.